GAAGCUGGAAUCGCUAGUAAUCGCGGAUCAGAAUGCCGCGGUGAAUACGUUCCCGGGUCUUGUACACACCGCCCGUCACACCAUGGGAGUCGGAAAUGCCCGAAGUCUGUGACCCAACCUACGGGAGGGAGCAGCCGAAGGCAGGUCGGAUGACUGGGGUGAAGUCGUAACAAGGUAAC
Molecule: ribosomal RNA, 179 nt
Filed under: uncultured bacterium
Lineage: Bacteria
Description: partial 16S ribosomal RNA
Rfam family: Bacterial small subunit ribosomal RNA
Source: RNAcentral